This 391-nucleotide unclassified non-coding RNA is filed under the name soil metagenome. RNAcentral's name for it is "partial contains 5.8S ribosomal RNA, internal transcribed spacer 2, and large subunit ribosomal RNA". The stretch from base 1 to 122 matches the Rfam family "5.8S ribosomal RNA", at positions 35 to 154 of the family's 154-position model. The record is from RNAcentral.
GAUGAAGAACGUAGCGAAAUGCGAUACUUGGUGUGAAUUGCAGAAUCCCGUGAACCAUCGAGUCUUUGAACGCAAGUUGCGCCCGAAGCCACUAGGCCGAGGGCACGCCUGCCUGGGCGUCACACGCCGUUGCCCCCCCACCUACUCCUUCGGGAUUGCGGGGGGGCGGAUGAUGGCCUCCCGUGCGCCUAGCCGCGCGGUUGGCAUAAAUACCAAGUCCUCGGCGACGCACGCCACGACAAUCGGUGGUUGCGAAACCUCGGUUGCCCGUCGUGUGCGUUCGUCGCGCAUCGAGGGCUCGAAAAAAUGCUCGGCUCCGGCUGGGCUUUCAACGCGACCCCAGGUCAGGCGGGGUUACCCGCUGAAUUUAAGCAUAUCAAUAAGCGGAGGA